GGACGUGAAGGUGAUCUGGCUGUGACAUCUGUCACCCCAUUGAUUGCCAGGGUUGAUUCGGCUGAUCUGGCUGGCUAGGCGUGUGUCCCUUUCCUCCCUCACCGCUCCAUGUGCGUCCCUCCUGAAGCUGCGCGCUCGGUCAGGCAGGACACUGUUCCCCGAUAGAGGAGGACCCUCCUUUGAUCAAGGGUAUAUGAGUAGCUGUGCUCCCCUGCUAGAGCCUCCAAACAAGCUCUCAAGUUUUAAACAAGAAAGAUUAAAAAUAAGUGAAUAUUUGGCUUAAGAAACAAAAAAAAAGGAUAUUUUAUUAGUU
This 313-nucleotide small nuclear RNA is filed under the name Castor canadensis (American beaver). RNAcentral describes it as "7SK RNA (ENSCCNG00000016397.1)". It matches the Rfam family "7SK RNA". Rfam says of the family: 7SK was discovered as an abundant small nuclear RNA in the mid-70s but a possible function has only recently been suggested. Two independent studies have found that 7SK RNA binds the CDK9/cyclin T complex (known as elongation factor P-TEFb). P-TEFb activates transcription by phosphorylating the C-terminal domain of RNA polymerase II. Lineage: Eukaryota; Metazoa; Chordata; Mammalia; Rodentia; Castoridae. The record is from Rfam by way of RNAcentral.